Molecule: small RNA, 2045 nt
Filed under: Pan troglodytes (chimpanzee)
Lineage: Eukaryota; Metazoa; Chordata; Mammalia; Primates; Hominidae
Description: processed transcript
Source: RNAcentral
AACACCAGCAAACAGUCUCCUAGACGUAGGGCUACACUGAUGGACCGGAUUGUAGGAUUUCUGCACUGAGUCCCUGCCCCUCUGCCUUUCCUGCCACCCCAAGUCCCUUCCCCUCCUGAAGCAGCAAUCUCUUCCAUCUCCCUCUCUGGUCUCUUCUCCCCACCCCUUUCCUCUGCACCUAACCCCCUCCCCUCCAUCUAACCCCACCUUCACUCUCCUCUCCGAGGGGGGAGGGCCAGGGGGUGGGGAAAGAAAACCCCCAAAUCCCCAGCCCUGGGCAGAGAUGUCGAAGAAACGCAAAGCCCUCGAGGGUGGAGGAGGUGGCGGAGAACCCCAGCUCCCAGAGGAGGAACCCACUGCCUGGUUUGGGGACAGCAGCGAGGAGCAAGUUCUCUAAGUUAGAAGAACAACACAAGUCUCACUGGGCUAACCUCGAGGUAUCGGCAGGGCUGGCUCCUUCUGGAGGCUUCAGGGAAGCAUCCAUCUCCCCACUUCUCCAGCUUCUUGAGGCCGUCCGCACUCCUGGGCUUGUGGUCCUGCUCCAUCUUCCAAGCCAGCAACAGCAGAUUGAGUUCCUCUCACUUAGCAUCACCCUGAACUUCCUCUACUGUAGACAAGUCUUCCUCUUCCUCCCUCUGCUGUCUCCACCUUUGUGAUUACCUUGGGCCCCCAAGAUCAUCCAGGGCAGCCUCCCAUCUCUAGAUCCCUAAGUGAAUCAAUCACAUCUGCAAAGUCUCUUUUGCCACGUGAGGUAACCUAGUCAUAGGUUCCAGAGAUUUGGAUGUGAACAUUUUUGUUGGGGCAUCAUUCUGCCCAACCACAAGCAUGUACCCGGCACUCACCACAUGUGGCAGUUAGUUGGUGUGUACUUUCUCUACCUGUAAAUCCCUGGAUGGAGAACAUGAUUUUUUCUCUCUACAUCUCUUUGCAUUUCAUCUGGUUCACUUAACCUGAUCCCCAGUGUCUUAGUCUGUACAGUGUGGCCGUAACAGAAUACCUGAGAUGGGGUAUUUAUUUAAAAAAAAAAUAAUAGGUGGGUUUAAGUCACAGUUCUGCAGUCUGGGCAGCUCAAGGCCAUGGCCCUUGGUUCUGGCAAGGCAAGGGCUUUUGUGGUGCUGCGUCAUAACAUGGCAGAGAAGGUCAAAGCGUAAGUGGACACGAGCAAAGAGAAGAUCAGAGGGGCCUCCUGGCUUUGUAACAAACCACUCUCAUGGGACUAUUCCAUUCCCUGGAGAACUAAUUCAGUCUUUCCAGAGUGAGACCUCACUACCAUGAGAACAGCACCAGGCCGUUCAUGAGGGAUCUGCAUCAGUGAUUCCAACACCUCCCACUAGGCCCCACCACCCAACACUACCACACUGGGGACCAAAUUUCAUCAUGGGCUUGGUGGGGAAAAGCCAACCAUACCCACACCAUAGCACCAGCCUGGGACCCAAAUGCACCAAAAAAGGGAAUGAGAAAGCCUAGAACUGAACCAUCCAGCAGUCAGAUACCAAAGAGAUCCAAAAAGUUAAACAAUCAUGAAGAAAAAGCGUUGAGAGGGUGAGACCUCAGGCAAGUUGAAGGCCAACAGCUGGCACCAAUGUGGGAAGAUGAAGCCUUGCAUAAACAUAAGCCCAAUCGUUAUUUCUCAUGUAAGGACUUGGUAAUUAGAAAAAGUGCAAAGAUGGUCCAAACCUCCUAGAUGAUGCUUUCUUGCAGGGUGAACUUUGGUAAACACUGGGGGAUGGAGGAGAGAGGAAUCUGCCUUCCAGGCUUGUCAGGUUUGCUCUUAAUCAUCCUGAGAACACAGGGUCUAAUGGAGCAUCUGUUGGUCGUCUGCAUGGCUGUGAUAUUUUACUUUAUCAUUUCCACCUACCACUUUUAUAAGUAUUUUUAUUCUCCAUAAAACAGGCUUUUAAGAGCAUUUACAAAUUAAUCACAUUAAAGACUUAUUAUCUGUUCUCUUAUGAUACACCUAUUUUGAUAUGGUGUGAAGAUAAUUGUUAUAAUCUCUAUUAAUUACAUACUGGCAUUCAUUAAAUAUGAAAAUGUUCAAUUGUUUG